UUUGAGUAAAAUUAUACAGAAUAAAUAAGAAAGAAAAAUUGGCACGAAGAAAAUGGUAGAACUUUGGUCUUUUUGCUUACAACAAUUUAACUCGGAUCAUUCUAAGACCAAUAGCAAUCUAUUUUUCUUUAGAAAAUUUGAUAAUCUUUUUCUAAUUAAUAUACGUGUUGAUAGAACGGUGGAAUAUCAGAAGUGAUCGGAAUGGACAGAGAUUGCUUUGUUUUCCAAAAUUACUCUUUCACAGCAAUGCGGCGUUUUGAUGGGUGCAGCGGUGUUCAGGAUUACAAUGUCUCGCUUCUACACGUACAUAUCACACACGAUACUCAAUACGAUAUAACAAAAUGCAAUAAAAUACAUCUUAAAUAAAUAUCAUAUACACGCAGACUGUAAAUCCAUCUAAGAAAAGGCAGGAUAUCUUAAAGAUGAUGGGAAAAGCGGAACAACGAUGGAAAAAUCAGUGAAAUAC
This 466-nucleotide unclassified non-coding RNA is filed under the name Bombus terrestris (buff-tailed bumblebee). RNAcentral describes it as "misc RNA ENSBTSG00005021342.1". The record is from RNAcentral. Lineage: Eukaryota; Metazoa; Arthropoda; Insecta; Hymenoptera; Apidae.